UGCAUAUAUGAUGGUGGUCAUCCAGU
RNAcentral lists this non-coding RNA (26 nucleotides) under Homo sapiens (human). The record is from RNAcentral. Lineage: Eukaryota; Metazoa; Chordata; Mammalia; Primates; Hominidae.